Molecule: long non-coding RNA, 338 nt
Filed under: Androctonus crassicauda
Lineage: Eukaryota; Metazoa; Arthropoda; Arachnida; Scorpiones; Buthidae
Source: RNAcentral
CCAGAACACGAUGUAGAGUUCGAUUAACACGAACCUUUGGGUAAGAUGGUAGCUUACCUGGUUCAGGAUCGCGCGAAGCGGCGCGAGACGGAGGCGCCAGCCAGCUGGCGGCGGCAAAAGAUCGCGAUCCGAGCGCGCGCACUUCCCGCUCUACACUCUCGCGCGGCACCCUCACGUUGUCUUGCGACGUUGCGCCCUAACAUCUCCCCGUACCUCGUUUUUCAGCUCCGGGUUUGCCAUCUACCGCGCAACCAUGCACGGAAAAAAACCCCUUAUGUCUAGCCCAGUGAUUCCCAAAGUGGGCGAUAUCGCCCCCCAGGGGGCGUUCUCGUUCUCGA